Molecule: long non-coding RNA, 910 nt
Organism: Triticum aestivum (bread wheat)
Lineage: Eukaryota; Viridiplantae; Streptophyta; Magnoliopsida; Poales; Poaceae
Exons: 3
Source: RefSeq, a predicted model, not a curated record
AAUUCUGAUUGAUUUUUGCAGACGGGUCACCCCUCUCCCCCAUCCCCUAUCUCUUGCACACUGUGGCGGCGAUCUAGAUCCGGUGGGAUGCCGUCGACUUGCGCAGUCCGUUCACGGUACUCUGGCUCGCAAGUCGUCUGGAUCCGUCUCCCGGGCACCCCCGACGUUGCUCUCCACAUCAACCCAGCAACCGCUACCAAGGUCCACUCCCCCAGGGCACCACCUCGCCUUCAUCGCGCCGGACUACGGCGGGUUUGUAGCCGGCCGGAAGACCCAUAGCACGGACGUGCCCGAGUGGAUGCAGCCUGACGGCCACACGUGCCAGGUCUUCUUCCUCGCCCCCAACGAUUGAAGCUCGUUGAAAAGAAAAGAAGACCUGGAAUUCAUCAAAAAGUCGCACGCAAAUGCACCAUUUGUAAGGAACUGGUGCUCCAUGAUGCAAGGACAUGCUCUAAGAAACAAAUGACACAACAGUAGAGAUGCAUGAUGCUCUGACAACAGGAAAUAACAAGACUACAGAUGGAUAGAAGAAGCUUUUAUCAAAGUCUCCCCUUUCUGAUAAUUGAGAGAAGUUUUAUGCAAGAUAAAUAUAACUCUGUUCUUGAUCACGCAUCUGUACUUGUCUGUGCUCAAGUAAAUCGUGUUUGCUUGGUGUGGUCUCUCCCAGAAAAGAAGCUUGAUGAGCAAGUAGUGGAACUGGAGGGAAAUGCUAGAGCUUUUCUGUUAUGUACCGUCAAGAUAGUAGAUUUUAUCGUUUUAAAUAGCAAUGCAUGUUGAGUGAUCAUCAUAUUAGUCCUUAAUACUUUGUCUUGCUGGCCAUGUACUAAAAAUAGUGCUACCAUGUCUCAUCAACAUAUGUACUAAAAAUCUUGCUGGCCAUGAUACGUAUUUUCAUAUUUUGCACUGACAA